GGGCAUCUGCGGUCCGUCCACCUUGUUUACACCGAGGGGGUCGGGGGUUCGAACCCCUCGCCGCCCACCA
Molecule: transfer RNA, 70 nt
Filed under: Brevundimonas sp.
Lineage: Bacteria; Pseudomonadati; Pseudomonadota; Alphaproteobacteria; Caulobacterales; Caulobacteraceae
Description: tRNA-Ser
Source: RNAcentral